AAAGCUGGAGACCCCUAAAUAAAUGCAGUUUCGAUAGAAAGCGAGUUUCUUGAAGAGUCAUCUGCUAAACUCCACUAGCAUCAUCUCUACAGAUCCCUUUAGUUAAUCAGAGCUGACUUCAUUGACAGCUUGCUCUGGUUAAUUACUGAAGUGUUUUAACUGAAUGCCCCAAGGUAUCGAUGUACUCAACCACCACUGCAAGGCUCAGAACAUGAGAAAUCUUGGAAGAAAGCUGGAGACAGUUUAUCAAUAUCUGAGAUGUUUGAGUAAUAUACAAAUAAAGCAAUUGUUCAGCACCAUCCUUUUGUGACUACAUCCCAACCUCUUGUCUUAUAUGGAUGAGGUAAGCUACCUGAGCAUCUCAGUUGCAUUCAAAAUUAUUUCUCCUCUUCUCCACUCUUGAUGACAAGUUGUGUAGAAUCAAUCAUCUGCAUAAUUCACAUUACUCCUCUUUUGCACCACCAAUUCCACUAAGCUUUCUUCAGUCCCUCCUAUAUAGUGAUCAAUUCCUACCUUGUUCCAUUGCAUCCAGUUUUUAUCCACAAAUGUAUCACUUACUUUGUCACAAGAUACAGUUCCCCAAUUCACAAUUCCGAUGAUUCUCUUCCCUUGCAAAAGACUGAAAUUUUCCCUCAUGCCAAUAGAACAAUAUUAUUUACCAUGGAUCUUCAGGUGCUCCAAAACCUAGCUGCAAAAACAUAUUAUUUAACUUCUUCCUAGGUGCAAUUUACCUCCAACCUUACUGGAAUGUAAUGUCAGCCACUAUUUCUAAUUCCUCUGCCUUUGAAUCUCUAAGCUUUACACUAAUUAGAGGCAACAGAAUUUCCCUAUCAGAAACAUAGGGUCUAAGAUCUGGAAGUAAACGGAAUAGCAUAGAUUUAAAGUGGAGUUUUCAGGGAUGUCUGGGUGACUCAGUUGGUUGAGCUUCAAGUCAGGUCAAGAUCUCAUAGUUCGUGAGUUUGAGCUCCCACAUCGGAUUCGCUGCUGCGCAGAGUCUGCUUCGGAUCGUCUGUUCCCCCUCUUUCUACCCCUCCCCCUCUCAAAAAUAAACAAAUAUUUAAAAAAUAAAUAAAUAAAGUG
Molecule: long non-coding RNA, 1080 nt
Filed under: Felis catus (domestic cat)
Lineage: Eukaryota; Metazoa; Chordata; Mammalia; Carnivora; Felidae
Description: lncRNA (ENSFCAG00000051557.1)
Source: RNAcentral